AAGAGGCAAGCGUUGUGGUUAAUUAGUAACAAGUGCUUCUCCUCCCAGCGAGAGGCCAGUUGUGAUGUGUGUGAUUGCGUAGCGAUACCACAGAAGUAGAAACAGGAAGCCAACUUCACAAAAAAGACGAUUCAAAGAGGGUUUUGGUGCGUGUAUGAUGGGUUCAACCAGGACAGGACCUUUAGCCCGGAGGCCCGACAAUUCGGCCUUCAAGCAGCAGCGUCUGCCCGCCUGGUCGCCCAUGCUAACUGCCAGCACGGUGCUUCCUUUCUUCUUCUUCAUGGCUCUGAUAUGUUUGCUGCUGGGGGUGUGGCUGCUGCUCACUGUGCAGAGCGUACAGGAAGUCCGGGUGGACUACACAGACAUCGGCGCGUGUGCCGUCUGUCACGACAUGCGUAAGAACGUGAGCAACGCGGCAAAGCUCUGCACUUGCAAACUGGACUUUCGCAUCAACAAGGCCCUGAAGGGUGAUGUCUUUUUCUACUACGGCCUCCAAAACUUCCACCAGAACCUGCGCAGGUACAUGGACUCCAGGGACGACGGGCAGACGGUGGGCAGGAAGACCAACCUGAAGAAACCAAGUUCUUACUGCAAACCAUUCGCCACCAAUGACAAAGGACUGCCCAUCGCUCCCUGUGGCGCUGUAGCCAACAGUAUCUUUAACGAUACAUUUAUUUUCAAAUAUCACAGGACAGCCGCCUCUGAAGACACACUGCCUUUGUUACGGAAGGGCAUCAGCUGGUACACCGACAAAAACGUCAAGUAUCGCAAUCCUCAGACGGACAACUUGAGCCUCGCUGAAGUCUUCCAAGGCACUGCCCCGCCUCCCUACUGGCACAAGCCUGUUUACGAGCUGGACGUCCACGACCCCAUCAACAACGGCUUCAUCAACGAGGACCUCAUCGUGUGGAUGAGGGAGGCGGCCUUCCCCAACUUCAAGAAGCUCUAUGCCGUCUUACACCGUGCCAACAAGCCUUUCCAAAGCGGCCUGCCCAAAGGCAACUACAGCGUGGAGAUAUCCUACAACUUCCCGGUGCAGUACUUCCGUGGCAGAAAGCAGGUGGUCCUGACCACGCUGAACUGGUUCGGGGGGCCCAACCCGUUCCUGCCCAUCGCCUAUUUGGUCACCAGCGGCCUGGUCCUGCUGGCGGCCGUCACCCUCACCGUGGUCUGGUGCAAGUUUGGCAAAGAGGGAAAGAACAUGGAGGAGUGACGGGUCCACCUGCAGCCAUUGCUGUUGGUCGCAGCGUGACGGCCCCCAAGGCAGCCCCGCCUUUUUUAGCCGCGCCCCCGACGCCGCCCACACGCUGCGCUGGCCGGCCAUGUUGUUCCACUCCCACACGGACGAGGCGGAGAUCUGAAUGUCCGCCACGCCGCCGGACUCUAACCCCAAAGUUCCAUAGCAGCCUGGCGAGAAAGAGGAAGGUCCGUACAACUUUUCCAUGGCCAAAUUCAAGCACUUUUUAAGGACUUCCAAGAUCAACUUUCCAGUACCCUUCAAAAGCCUUCCGUGGUGAGGGUGAUGACGAGGAUCGACAGGACCAGAACCCCGGCCCCUGUCGGCCCCCUGCCCACCAUUACCGCUCCUUCCAUAGCAGCCUGCAGUCCAAAUGCAUACUGCUUGCUUCCGGACCCGCCGCACCGCUUCCAACUGCACCAAACGGCCGAUAUGGAGGACCACCGGAGCGGGUACGGGAACGGUGCUCAGAUUGUGGCUCUUAUUCGGCCUCAAAUUCCAGUGAUUGACUCACUAUUAUGGAGGUAAGUUGCUGAGGGGGCUACUUCCUCCAAUUAGGCUCCUCCCCCUGCGGGCUGCCGACACCCCCGCAAGUCCGAAGGGGAUCUUCAAGUCACCUACCGGUAAUAUAGGUGCGCUUCUUUUCCUAGUUUUACGGUAACAGAAUACACACUGAACACAAGAAAUGUAUAAAUCAGUGUUUUUCAGCCACUGUGCUAUGGUACACUAGUGAGUAGUGUGCCGUGAGAUACUGUUUGGUCUGCCGUGGGAGAUUAUGUAAUUUCACCUAAUUGGGUUAAAAAUAUUUGUAUUGAGUUGUGUGGUCCUCUGUUGCCCUCUGUGUUUUAAAAUUGUGAUUUCUAUUUACUGUUUUAAUUGGUUUCAACCUUAAAAUCGUUUUUAAUCAUAUUUAUUUUAUAUUGUUUUCAUAUUGGUUUUACAUGUAUUUAUUUUUAUUUUUUGUUUUUAUUCAGUCAUUGGUAGAGCUCAGGAUAGUAUUUGAAUGCCCAUCCAUCCAUCCAUUUUCUACCACGUAUUCCCUUUUGGGUUCGCAGGGGGCGCUGGCGCCUAUCUCAGCUACAAUCGGGCGGAAGGCGGGGUACACCCUGGACAAGUCGCCACCUCAUCGCAGGGCCAACACAGAUAGACAGACAACAUUCACGCUCACAUUCACACACUAGGGCCAAUUUAGUGUUGCCAAUCAACCUAUCCCCAGGUGCAUGUCUUUGAAAGUGGGAGAAAGCCGGACUACCCGGAGGGAACCCACGCAUUCACGGGGAAACAUGCAAACUCCACACAGAAAGAUCCCGAGCCUGGGAUUGAACACAGACGCACUAACCCCUCUGCCACCGUGAAGCCAGUAUUUGAAUGUUGUUUUUAAUAUUGUUGUGCAGCACUUUGGAAACAUUUUGUUGUUUAAAUGUGCUAUAUAAAUAAAGUGGAUUGGAUUGGA
Nerophis ophidion (straightnose pipefish) is the source of this 2690-nucleotide RNA transcript. It is a transcript of the gene named transmembrane protein 30C, with no coding region annotated. The transcript is spliced from 10 exons. The record is from RefSeq and is a predicted model, not a curated record. Lineage: Eukaryota; Metazoa; Chordata; Actinopteri; Syngnathiformes; Syngnathidae.